GGAAUUGACGGGGCCCGCACAAGCGGUGGAGCAUGUGGUUAAUUCGACGCAACGCGAAGAACCUUACCAGGGCUUGACAUCCCCUGACCGCGUAUGAAAGUACGUUUUCACCUCGGGUGACAGGGAGACAGGUGGUGCAUGGUUGUCGUCAGCUCGUGUCGUGAGAUGUUGGGUUAAGUCCCGCAACGAGCGCAACCCCUACGUUUAGUUGCUAACGCGUGAAGGCGAGCACUCUAGACGAACUGCCGUUGACAAAACGGAGGAAGGUGGGGAUGACGUCAAAUCAUCAUGCCCCUUAUGUUCUGGGCUACACACGUGCUACAAUGGCCGGUACAAACGGAAGCGAAGCCGCGAGGUGAAGCAAAUCUGAUAAAACCGGUCUCAGUUCGGAUUGGAGUCUGCAACUCGACUCCAUGAAGCUGGAAUCGCUAGUAAUCGCGGAUCAGCCAUGCCGCGGUGAAUACGUUCCCGGGUCUU
This 477-nucleotide ribosomal RNA is filed under the name uncultured Pelotomaculum sp. RNAcentral describes it as "bacterial SSU rRNA". It matches the Rfam family "Bacterial small subunit ribosomal RNA", at positions 906 to 1382 of the family's 1533-position model. Lineage: Bacteria; Bacillati; Bacillota; Clostridia; Eubacteriales; Desulfotomaculaceae. The record is from RNAcentral.